This 58-nucleotide transfer RNA is filed under the name Lycosa sp. Its description in RNAcentral is "tRNA-His". Lineage: Eukaryota; Metazoa; Arthropoda; Arachnida; Araneae; Lycosidae. The record is from RNAcentral.
UUUUAUUUAGUUUAAACAAAACAAUAGUUUGUGGAACUAUUAAUUCUCAUAUUAUAUU